Molecule: ribosomal RNA, 467 nt
Filed under: uncultured bacterium
Lineage: Bacteria
Description: partial 16S ribosomal RNA
Rfam family: Bacterial small subunit ribosomal RNA
Source: RNAcentral
GACGAACGCUGGCGGCGUGCUUAACACAUGCAAGUCGAACGGAAAGGCCUGCUUUUGUGGGGUGCUCGAGUGGCGAACGGGUGAGUAACACGUGAGUAACCUGCCCUUGACUUUGGGAUAACUUCAGGAAACUGGGGCUAAUACCGGAUAGGAGCUCCUGCUGCAUGGUGGGGGUUGGAAAGUUUCGGCGGUUGGGGAUGGACUCGCGGCUUAUCAGCUUGUUGGUGGGGUAGUGGCUUACCAAGGCUUUGACGGGUAGCCGGCCUGAGAGGGUGACCGGCCACAUUGGGACUGAGAUACGGCCCAGACUCCUACGGGAGGCAGCAGUGGGGAAUAUUGCACAAUGGGCGGAAGCCUGAUGCAGCAACGCCGCGUGCGGGAUGACGGCCUUCGGGUUGUAAACCGCUUUCGCCUGUGACGAAGCGUGAGUGACGGUAAUGGGUAAAGAAGCACCGGCUAACUACGGG